GGGGGCGACCGGUUUCGACGUGCCAGUUGAAGCAUCGGUUGCGCGCCGAGGACCCCGGUUGGCCUCGAAAAACAUCCGGGAAAAACACAAAAGCCAACGAACAAUUGGCCUUCGCGGCUUAGUUCCGCGACGUUCGGCCGUCUUCGCCUGCGGGGCGGAUCCGGGCGUUAUGAGCAGGCUGGCGACCCGUGCCGGGCAACCGGGUGCGGGAGCGAGAACCGACCGGUUGAUUGCGGUGCUGCUGGUUUGUCCGUGGACAGGCGGCAUGGCGAAACCUAAAUACGGACUAUGCGCGUAGACGUCGGUGUAACGCUGGUGCGGACGCGGGUUCGACUCCCGCCGCCUCCACCA
This 351-nucleotide transfer-messenger RNA is filed under the name Kiritimatiellia. RNAcentral's name for it is "Lenti-01 sp012514035 Standard tmRNA". It matches the Rfam family "transfer-messenger RNA". Rfam says of the family: Bacterial tmRNA, also known as 10Sa RNA or SsrA, is named for its dual tRNA and mRNA-like properties. Its role is to liberate the mRNA from a stalled ribosome. Lineage: Bacteria; Pseudomonadati; Kiritimatiellota. RNAcentral also lists the same sequence under 2 other names. The record is from RNAcentral.